Molecule: ribosomal RNA, 253 nt
Filed under: uncultured bacterium
Lineage: Bacteria
Description: partial 16S ribosomal RNA
Rfam family: Bacterial small subunit ribosomal RNA
Source: RNAcentral
UACGGGGGGGGCAAGCGUUGUUCGGAAUUACUGGGCGUAAAGGGUUCGUAGGUGGCCCGCUAAGUCACACGUGAAAUCCCUCGGCUUAACCGGGGAACUGCAUCUGAUACUGGAUGGCUUGAGAUUGGGAGAGGGAUGCGGAAUUCCAGGUGUAGCGGUGAAAUGCGUAGAUAUCUGGAGGAACACCGGUGGCGAAGGCGGCAUCCUGGACCAACACUGACGCUGAGGAGCGAAAGCCAGGGGAGCAAACGGG